Molecule: long non-coding RNA, 1018 nt
Organism: Alexandromys fortis (reed vole)
Lineage: Eukaryota; Metazoa; Chordata; Mammalia; Rodentia; Cricetidae
Exons: 3
Source: RefSeq, a predicted model, not a curated record
GGCAGCAGAGACCUGCCACACCUGCUGUCUCCCUCUCCGCCUGCUCUUCGGACCCCAGCGGUCUAUACGCUCAGAGCUGCUUGGGUGGGCCUCUCUCGUACCAGGGGUGGUCUGUGUGUGUGUGUGUGUGUGUGUGUGUGUGUGUGCGCGCGCGCAGGCCUGUGGCGGGUGCAGUGGCAUCACUAUGGCUUCCAGCACAGGUGGAAUACCCAGGCAGAACAACAGGCUUUGGCAUGUGCCUCGUCGUGGGUAAGUCCAUGGCCCCUCCACUCAGCCAGCGUCCCUGGCAAUCAAGGCAAUCAAUCUCAUGCUCACAGGCACAGAAAGCCAGGAGCAUCUUUUCUGGGCUUCAGAUCCAUAUUGGCCGACACUUGGGGUGAGUGCCUGGGACAGAUACUGGCGGGGAGAACGGUGUCCUGCCACAUCAGACAGCAGGACGCUGAAGGCCACUGCUGCUGGUGACUUCCCCUGGUGGCUUAUUUAUUUCUGGGGACUGAUUACUCUCUGGGCUGGCUCCCUCCUCCCCGGCAGGGUCCUGAUCCGCGUUUCCUCCUGCACCUUCUUGUCUAGAACCAUGGCAGCCCCCAUACCAGUCUGUUUGGGCUUCAGAGUUGCUGUGUUGAGUACUCAGGGCAGCCUUUCCCCCUCCCUCAGAAGAAGCAUGGUAGCCGCAGAGGCCACUGCCAGUCCAGAGCUCAGGGUUAAGGAGAUGCAUCCCUCUUGAAACCACUUGGAAGUAUGAGGAUGGUGGAUAAGGGAGCUGGGAGGAGCCUGACCACUGACAGCAUUGAGGACCAGGAAUCAGCUCUUGCCAGUGGUAUCAUGUCACCACUGGACUAACACACCCGCUGGUGGGCAGGACCUCAUACUCUUACAGGCCCUCCGCUCAGCAGCCAGAGAGGGGUUAUAGGCCUCUGUGUAGGAGAGGAGGAGACCCAGGAUCUGCUGGCCUGAAGGAACCCCUCUGGGGGAUGGCCUUGACCAGUCACCAGGUACUGCCCACCCUGAGAUGCAGCCA